AGCGAACGCUGGCGGCAGGCCUAACACAUGCAAGUCGAAAGAACCUUUCGGGGUUAGUGGCGGACGGGUGAGUAACACGUGGGAACGUGCCUUUAGGUUCGGAAUAACUCAGGGAAACUUGUGCUAAUACCGAAUGUGCCCUUCGGGGGAAAGAUUUAUCGCCUUUAGAGCGGCCCGCGUCUGAUUAGCUAGUUGGUUGAGGUAAUGGCUCACCAAGGCGACGAUCAGUAGCUGGUCUGAGAGGAUGAUCAGCCACAUUGGGACUGAGACACGGCCCAAACUCCUACGGGAGGCAGCAGUGGGGAAUCUUGCGCAAUGGGCGAAAGCCUGACGCAGCCAUGCCGCGUGAAUGAUGAAGGUCUUAGGAUUGUAAAAUUCUUUCACCGGGGACGAUAAUGACGGUACCCGGAGAAGAAGCCCCGGCUAACUUCGUG
Molecule: ribosomal RNA, 434 nt
Filed under: uncultured bacterium
Lineage: Bacteria
Description: partial 16S ribosomal RNA
Rfam family: Bacterial small subunit ribosomal RNA
Source: RNAcentral